Cricetulus griseus (Chinese hamster) is the source of this 98-nucleotide ribosomal RNA. The record is from Ensembl. NCBI's taxonomy places the organism in Eukaryota, Metazoa, Chordata, Mammalia, Rodentia, Cricetidae.
UUCUAUAGCCACACCACCUGAAUGCACCUGGUCUCGGAGGAUAACCAGGAUUGUGCCUGGUUAGUAUUUGGGUGGGGAAAAAUUAAUAGUUAUAAUCA